RNAcentral lists this long non-coding RNA (1035 nucleotides) under Cyanistes caeruleus (blue tit). RNAcentral's name for it is "lncRNA (ENSCCEG00000013045.1)". The record is from RNAcentral. Lineage: Eukaryota; Metazoa; Chordata; Aves; Passeriformes; Paridae.
UGUUUCCCUUCUUGCCUUCAUCUGAAUUCCCUCUGCCAUGAGCCAUCAAACACGGAACUGCUCAUAGAUCACCUCUUGUCAGGGGCUGGCAGCGCUUCUGGCUCGGCCUCUGAGCUCCACAGCUGUUGGAGAGUUUGUUUGGCUGGAAGGAGGAAGGGUGGUCUGGGUCAGGCUCUGGGGUGUUCCCAUCCCAUCCAGGCUCUGGGGUGUUCCCAUCCCAUCCAGGCUCUGGGGUGUUCCCAUCUGGGUUCUGGAGUGUUCCCAUCUGGGUUCUGGGGUGUUCCCAUCCAGGAUCUGGGGUGUUCCCAUCUGGGUUCUGGGGUGUUCCCAUCCCAUCCAGGCUCUGGGGUGUUCCCAUCCAGGCUCUGGGUGUUCCCAUCCACGUUCCAGUGGAAGCUGGAUUUUAAACCACAGGGAAAGGGGGACAGAACUCCCUCAGCCCUUCAGUGGGGUGGGACAGGAGAAAAGGGGAGACAGAAGAAGGUGCAGGUCCCUCCUGCAGACCCCACAGAGGCCGGGGAGGGAGUGGGGACAACCACAGCAGGACAUCUGACCAAAACAGGGGAUGCUUUUAGCAGAGCUGAGCCAAACCAUUCUCUGAGAGCUGAACCAGCUCACCCUCCACAAGCCACCGCACCAGCUCCAGCAAAAAACCACAUUUUUUGCAAUUUUCAAGCUCUGAACCCUCCUGAUUUCCACACGUCACUGGCUGAGAUGCGCAGUCCCUGGGGAUGGGGCUGCGGGAUCAGCGAGGUGAAGGUGGCUGAGCCCUCUCCGAGGUGCUUCACCCCCCACUGUCCCCGCACGUGUCCCCGUGCUGCGGAUGCAGAUGUCUGGGAACGUGCGCUCGCUCCAGCAUUACAUCACUGCAGGGAAAGGCAGCAGGAGAAAUGCAGCAGCCUGCGAGCCAGGGCCAUCCAAAAUAAACCUCUGCCGGGAAAGGGGAGGCGUUCCAGUGGAAAAUGUUUGGGUUUUCACAAAUCCCAUCGCCUCAGCGCUUGUGCCGCGGUCCUUCAAGGUCCUUCCUGCAUGUAG